UCCCGAGGCUCAACCUCGGAACUGCUCUUAAAACUGCUAAGCUAGAGAUAGUCAGAGGCGGGUAGAAUUCCUGGUGUAGAGGUGAAAUUCGUAGAUAUCAGGAGGAAUACCGGUGGCGAAGGCGGCCCGCUGGGGCUAUUCUGACGCUAAGGUGCGAAAGCGUGGGGAGCGAACGGGAUUAGAUACCCCGGUAGUCCACGCCGUAAACGAUGAACACCAGCUGUUUGAACAAACGACAGUUCGAGUGGCGCAGCUAACGCGAUGAGUGUUCCGCCUGGGGAGUACGGUCGCAAGACUAAAACUCAAAGGAAUUGACGGGGGCCCGCACAAGCGGUGGAGCAUGUGGUUUAAUUCGACGCAACGCGAAGAACCUUACCUGGGUUUGACAUCCU
RNAcentral lists this ribosomal RNA (392 nucleotides) under uncultured delta proteobacterium. Its description in RNAcentral is "bacterial SSU rRNA". It matches the Rfam family "Bacterial small subunit ribosomal RNA", at positions 600 to 990 of the family's 1533-position model. Lineage: Bacteria; Deltaproteobacteria. The record is from RNAcentral.